AAUAAGAUGCCUGACAAAAGGGUUAUUUUGAUAGAAUAAAUCAUGUGAUAUUUCACUCUUAUUA
Molecule: transfer RNA, 64 nt
Filed under: Macromia manchurica
Lineage: Eukaryota; Metazoa; Arthropoda; Insecta; Odonata; Macromiidae
Description: tRNA-Ile
Source: RNAcentral